GUUCCCGAGGUGUAGCGGUUAUCACGUGCGCCUCACACGUGCAAGGCCCCCGGUUCGAUUCCGGGCGGGAACA
This 73-nucleotide transfer RNA is filed under the name Dermacentor andersoni. RNAcentral describes it as "transfer RNA valine (anticodon CAC)". It matches the Rfam family "tRNA". From Rfam's summary of the family: Transfer RNA (tRNA) molecules are approximately 80 nucleotides in length. Their secondary structure includes four short double-helical elements and three loops (D, anti-codon, and T loops). Further hydrogen bonds mediate the characteristic L-shaped molecular structure. tRNAs have two regions of fundamental functional importance: the anti-codon, which is responsible for specific mRNA codon recognition, and the 3' end, to which the tRNAs corresponding amino acid is attached (by aminoacyl-tRNA synthetases). tRNAs cope with the degeneracy of the genetic code in two manners: having more than one tRNA (with a specific anti-codon) for a particular amino acid; and 'wobble' base-pairing, i.e. permitting non-standard base-pairing at the 3rd anti-codon position. The record is from RNAcentral. Lineage: Eukaryota; Metazoa; Arthropoda; Arachnida; Ixodida; Ixodidae.